GUCUACAGCCAUGUCACCCUGAAUAAGCCCGAUGUCUGAUCUUGGAAGCUAAGCAGGGUCGGGCCUGGUUAGUACUUGAAUGGAAGACCACCUAGGAAGGCCAGGUGCUUGUAGGCA
This 117-nucleotide ribosomal RNA is filed under the name Pteropus alecto (black flying fox). The record is from RNAcentral. Lineage: Eukaryota; Metazoa; Chordata; Mammalia; Chiroptera; Pteropodidae.